This 497-nucleotide ribosomal RNA is filed under the name uncultured bacterium. RNAcentral describes it as "partial 16S ribosomal RNA". It matches the Rfam family "Bacterial small subunit ribosomal RNA", at positions 28 to 507 of the family's 1533-position model. The record is from RNAcentral.
GAUGAACGCUGGCGGCGUGCCUAAUACAUGCAAGUCGAGCGAACGGACGAGAAGCUUGCUUCUCUGCUGUUAGCGGCGGACGGGUGAGUAACACUUGGAUAACCUACCUAUAAGACUGGGAUAACUUCGGGAAACCGGAGCUAAUACCGGAUAAUAUUUUGAACCGCAUGGUUCAAAAGUGAAAGACGGUCUUGCUGUCACUUAUAGAUGGUUCCGCGCUGCAUUAGCUAGUUGGUAAGGUAACGGCUUACCAAGGCAACGAUGCAUAGCCGACCUGAGAGGGUGAUCGGCCACACUGGAACUGAGACACGGUCCAGACUCCUACGGGAGGCAGCAGUAGGGAAUCUUCCGCAAUGGGCGAAAGCCUGACGGAGCAACGCCGCGUGAGUGAUGAAGGUCUUCGGAUCGUAAAACUCUGUUAUUAGGGAAGAACAUAUGUGUAAGUAACUGUGCACAUCUUGACGGUACCUAAUCAGAAAGCCACGGCUAACUACGUG